UAAAAGGUUCUUCUUGGAACCAUAAAUUUCAGUAACUUUUAUUUCU
Danio rerio (zebrafish) is the source of this 46-nucleotide non-coding RNA. The record is from Rfam. Lineage: Eukaryota; Metazoa; Chordata; Actinopteri; Cypriniformes; Danionidae.